ACGCCCCAGGUGCCCGCAGCAGCAGCAGUGUGCUGGGGCUGUGUCUCUGCGCACUGGCUGGCUCUGGGCUGGGAAGUUUCAAGCAUUCCCUUCUCCCCCUUCACACACUUAACCCUACCUUGUCUGGUCAAGAGGGAUCCAGACAAAAUCAACCUUCUGCGUCAAGAGCUGCGUCCAGCUGCCUCAGAGGCACAGAGUCUGUUCCUGGCCCCACCUGGCUUUCACCAUAAACUAGAACGAGCGUCCAAGGCCCAGGACGCUGCAGCUUUGCAAGGGUUGUUGACUCCAGGAGGGCAGGAACAGCACCCGACUGGGAGUCUGCAAGUGUGUGGGGUAUGACAUUCAUCUCACAUGCACAGAGCACACCAUGAGUAAAGAAUUCUCAUCCUCUGGUA
This is a long non-coding RNA of Rhinopithecus roxellana (golden snub-nosed monkey), 395 nucleotides long. RefSeq lists it as uncharacterized. Lineage: Eukaryota; Metazoa; Chordata; Mammalia; Primates; Cercopithecidae. The record is from RefSeq and is a predicted model, not a curated record. The transcript has 2 exons.